CUACGGAGGGUGCGAGCGUUAAUCGGAAUUACUGGGCGUAAAGGGUGCGUAGGCGGCUUGAUAAGUCGGAUGUGAAAGCCCCGGGCUUAACCUGGGAAUUGCAUUCGAUACUGUCAGGCUAGAGUAUGUCAGAGGCUGGCGGAAUUCCUGGUGUAGCGGUGAAAUGCGUAGAUAUCAGGAGGAACACCAGUGGCGAAGGCGGCUAACUGGGACAAUACUGACGCUGAGGCACGAAAGCGUGGGGAGCAAACAGGAUUAGAAACCCCAGUAGUCC
This 274-nucleotide ribosomal RNA is filed under the name uncultured bacterium. RNAcentral's name for it is "partial 16S ribosomal RNA". It matches the Rfam family "Bacterial small subunit ribosomal RNA", at positions 523 to 796 of the family's 1533-position model. The record is from RNAcentral.